UUGGAGAGGAGCGGUGGGGCACGAUUCAGUCCACUGCACACGUUCUCCUCUCCAGACCUCUCACUGGGAGCUUGUCAUUGCCUGGAAGAGUGCUGGGCACACAAUAGUAUGAUCAGCUCGUCGAAAGAAUGAAUCAAUGACACUCUGUCUUCGUGGAGAGCAGCCUGGGUGUGGAAUCAGGCACCCCCGGGUUCAAAGCCAUCACUGGCGAACUCACAAAGAGUGGGACUCACCGACCUGAGGGUUUGCCAGCACACUCGUAGCCCGUGGGACUAGAGUAUUUGUGAGAGAGGAGCAUGGUCUUUUGAUUGAAGAACGGAAGUCAUUCGUGAAGGACACAGCACACACAGCCCAGAGAGCUCGCAGGUUAAAACUGGGCAUGGAGCAAUGUCUGCCAGCCAUUCAGGGGACUUCAAAAUAGGUCAGAAUACAUUUCCAGAAAGUGACACCAUCUUUUUGGGUUUGGGUAUAAUAAUAAAUCUAGG
This 485-nucleotide long non-coding RNA is filed under the name Pan troglodytes (chimpanzee). RNAcentral describes it as "long non-coding RNA NONPTRT015391". The record is from RNAcentral. Lineage: Eukaryota; Metazoa; Chordata; Mammalia; Primates; Hominidae.